Molecule: long non-coding RNA, 1247 nt
Filed under: Manihot esculenta (cassava)
Lineage: Eukaryota; Viridiplantae; Streptophyta; Magnoliopsida; Malpighiales; Euphorbiaceae
Source: RNAcentral
GAAAACAAACAAAUUUUGAUGGUUAGUCAGAAAUUGAGUCCUGAAACUCAAGGGAAUGCACGUAAAUGUAUAAACUAAAUGUAUAAACUAGAUGCAUAAAGAGAAAAACAUACCUUCUGUGACAAUUCAAGGUCUAUAGAUAUGAGUCAGGUGAUCUGGAAAGUUUUAGGUUUGAGUUGAUGAUAUAUUACAUGUACUAUGUAUAUGGUCAGACAACAUUUUCAUGGAAUCGAGCAGAAAAUCAAUGAUAUUUUGGCCUUGCUUUCUCUUCACUGUCCUGAAAGAAGAGCACAAAGAAGGUGUAUUCUGAGAGUACCUGAAAAGUUGACAUCCACUUGCGACUUGGGAGAUCUCGAACUGUCCAAGCACAUUGCCAACACUCGCAUGCAGUUGGCUAGAAAAAGUUCAUUCUUGUAAGUGCAUUGGCAUGCGUACGGAAAUUCAUGCUAAGAUGUCAUGAAAUACCUAAAUCCCGACAUUGUCAUGAGGGGAAAGCCAAAGCAUUUAGAAUUACAUUAGAGAAACAAACAAAUUAAAUCUUCAUUUCCUCUGAAGAAUGAAACUCCCUCAUCUUCUAAAUUAGACUGCACUUCUUUUACUUAAAAAUCUGCACAGAUAAUUUCCUUUACCAAUAAACAAGUUCAAGGCUGCAUUGAAGAUUAUACAGAUAUAUCAACUCUAAUCUAAUUACAACACCUGUCUGAUCUUGCAUUAGAAGGGAUAUAUAAUCGGCAAGAAAGAAGGGAAAAAAGAUUAAUAAGAUUGAUUUUCAUUUUGCUUUUUAUGAUGGAGAAGGUUAAUCUGAAUAAAAUCCCUACUCUUAUAGAUUUAAGGUUAAAACACCACAAAUUUUUUGUAUAGAAGAAUAUAAACAAAUGAUAUUUCUGAAAAAACCAUACCCAUACAAAUGAUAUUCCCUUAAAAAAAUUAUGAAGAUUGAUAUUACCAAAUUCCUGCAAUAAUUGCUAUAAGCACUGAAAUUUACCAAUUCAUUGUAACAUGAAAGAAAAGAAUAAAAAGAGAGAAGGAAUUAAGAGGGAUAUUGGCACGGCUCAAUCAGAUUAAAGGACCCAAACCUUGGGAGAUUUGAUUUGAUUGAGCCAUCCCAACAUCACCUCUUUCUCUAUAAACGUACCAGAAUAAAUGAUCAUAAUCUGAGUUAAUUAUGAUGAGUGGAGCUUGUAUCACGAUGGAGAGAAUUGGCACAAGGGAAGAAGCCAGGAUUAUGAUUUAAUACAAACAGCUGA